CCUACGGGAGGCAGCAGUGGGGAAUCUUGCGCAAUGCGCGAAAGCGUGACGCAGCAACGCCGCGUGGGGGAAGAAGGCCUUCGGGUUGUAAACCCCUUUCAGGAGGGACGAAGGUGCGGCGGCGAACAGCCGACCGUACUGACGGUACCUCCAGAAGAAGCCCCGGCUAACUACGUGCCAGCAGCCGCGGUAAUACGUAGGGGGCAAGCGUUGUCCGGAAUCAUUGGGCGUAAAGCGCGCGUAGGCGGCCCGAUAAGUCCGCUGUAAAAGUCCAGGGCUCAACCCUGGAAAGCCGGUGGAUACUGUCGGGCUCGAGUCCGGAAGAGGCGAGUGGAAUUCCUGGCGUAGCGGUGGAAUGCGCAGAUAUCAGGAGGAACACCGAUAGCGAAGGCAGCUCGCUGGGACGGUACUGACGCUAAGGCGCGAAAGCGUGGGGAGCAAACAGGAUUAGAUACCCUGGUAGUCCACGCUGUAAACGAUGGGCACUAGGUGUGGGAGGUGUCGACUCCUCCCGUGCCGGCGCUAACGCAUUAAGUGCCCCGCCCUCGGGGAGUACGGGCCGGCGAAGGCGUAAAACUACAAAGGAAAUUAGACGG
Molecule: ribosomal RNA, 596 nt
Filed under: uncultured bacterium
Lineage: Bacteria
Description: bacterial SSU rRNA
Rfam family: Bacterial small subunit ribosomal RNA
Source: RNAcentral